CCUCCAUUCCACCCAACAACCAAGAAGAGCAAGGCGUCAGCCAUGAGCAAGGACUGCGGCAACCACGGCGACGACGACCUCCGGCGCUCGUGCCGGCGCCUCCUGGCCAUCCUCCUGUUCCUGGCCUUCCUCGUCGCCAUCAUCGCGCUCAUCGUCUACCUGGUGCUCCGCCCCACGCACCCGCGCUUCUUCCUGCAGGACGCGUCCCUCCGGCAGCUCGACCUCUCCAACGGCUCCUCCAACGUCCUCUCCACCACGCUCCAGGUGACCGUCGCCUCCCGCAACCCCAACGACCGCGUCGGCGUCUACUACGACCGCCUCGACGUCUACGCCUCCUACAAGUACCAGCAGAUCACCGUCGCCGCAUCGCUCCCGCCAGUCUACCAGGGCCACGGCGACGUCGACGUCUGGUCCCCGGUCCUCGCGGGGCCCAGCGUCCCCUUCGCGCCCUACCUCGCCGACGCGCUCAGCCAGGACUGCCAGGCGGGGUACCUCAUCCUCCAGGUCAAGAUCGACGGCCGCGUCAGGUGGAAGGUCGGCAGCUGGAUCUCGGGACACUACCAC
This 564-nucleotide long non-coding RNA is filed under the name Setaria italica (foxtail millet). Its description in RNAcentral is "long non-coding RNA (SITA_LNC005527)". Lineage: Eukaryota; Viridiplantae; Streptophyta; Magnoliopsida; Poales; Poaceae. The record is from RNAcentral.